UGCCAGCCGCCGCGGUAAUACGGAGGGUGCAAGCGUUGUUCGGAAUUAUUGGGCGUAAAGCGCGUGUAGGCGGUUCGUUAAGUCUGAUGUGAAAGCCCGGGGCUCAACCCCGGAAGUGCAUUGGAAACUGGCUAACUAGAGUCAUCAAGAGGAGAUCGGAAUUACCAGUGUAGAGGUGAAAUUCGUAGAUAUUGGUAGGAACACCAGUGGCGAAGGCGGAUCUCUGGGGAUGUACUGACGCUCAGGGUCGAAAGCAUGGGGAGCAAACAGGAUUAGAUA
RNAcentral lists this ribosomal RNA (279 nucleotides) under uncultured bacterium. RNAcentral's name for it is "partial 16S ribosomal RNA". It matches the Rfam family "Bacterial small subunit ribosomal RNA", at positions 506 to 784 of the family's 1533-position model. The record is from RNAcentral.